UAGAUCUGAGUAUAUCAAUACUACCUUGUUCAGAACUUAAAGAGAAAUCUUGAGUUUAUGGACUUCAGGGGGAGUAUGGUCACAAGGCUGAAACUUAAAGGAAUUGACGGAAGGGCACACCAGGAGUGGAGCCUGCGGCUUAAUUUGACUCAACACGGGAAAACUUACCAAGACCGAACAGUAGAAGGAAUGACAGAUUAAGAGUUCUUUCAUGAUUUAUUGGGUAGUGGUGCAUGGCCGUUCUUAGUUGGUGGAGUGAUUUGUCAGGUUAAUUCCGGUAACGAACGAGACUGAAACCUAUUAAUUAGUUUUCUGCCUAUAAGACAGAAAUGUUCGCAAGAACAGGUGCGUAAGUACCACUUCUUAAAGGGACACAUUUCAAUUGUCCUAUUUUAAUUGUUAGUUAUCUAAUUUCG
Molecule: ribosomal RNA, 416 nt
Filed under: Entamoeba histolytica
Lineage: Eukaryota; Evosea; Mastigamoebida; Endamoebidae
Description: SSU rRNA
Rfam family: Eukaryotic small subunit ribosomal RNA
Source: RNAcentral